CUUCCCAUGGACGCAGUCUGAUGUGAGCACGCGCGCGUGUAUGAAGAAGGUCUUCGGAUCGUAAAAUACUAGUUGUCAGAGAAGAACACGGGAUAAAGUAACUGUUGUCCCGCUGACGGUAUCUGACCAGCAAGUCACGGCUAACUACGUGCCAGCAGCCGCGGUAAUAUAA
This 172-nucleotide ribosomal RNA is filed under the name uncultured Lactobacillus sp. RNAcentral's name for it is "partial 16S ribosomal RNA". It matches the Rfam family "Bacterial small subunit ribosomal RNA", at positions 363 to 528 of the family's 1533-position model. Lineage: Bacteria; Bacillati; Bacillota; Bacilli; Lactobacillales; Lactobacillaceae. The record is from RNAcentral.